ACAGCAGCAGCCGCGGUAAUACGUAGGGUGCAAGCGUUAAUCGGAAUUACUGGGCGUAAAGCGUGCGCAGGCGGCUAUAUAAGUCAGAUGUGAAAUCCCCGGGCUCAACCUGGGAACUGCAUUUGAGACUGUAUGGCUAGAGUGUGUCAGAGGGGGGUAGAAUUCCACGUGUAGCAGUGAAAUGCGUAGAUAUGUGGAGGAAUACCGAUGGCGAAGGCGGCCCCCUGGGAUAACACUGACGCUCAUGCACGAAAGCGUGGGGAGCAAACAGGAUUAGAUACCCCGGUAGUCCCUGUCUCUUAUAC
This 305-nucleotide ribosomal RNA is filed under the name uncultured bacterium. RNAcentral's name for it is "partial 16S ribosomal RNA". It matches the Rfam family "Bacterial small subunit ribosomal RNA", at positions 505 to 807 of the family's 1533-position model. The record is from RNAcentral.